This 253-nucleotide ribosomal RNA is filed under the name uncultured bacterium. Its description in RNAcentral is "partial 16S ribosomal RNA". It matches the Rfam family "Bacterial small subunit ribosomal RNA", at positions 524 to 776 of the family's 1533-position model. The record is from RNAcentral.
GACGGGGGAUGCAAGUGUUAUCCGGAAUCACUGGGCGUAAAGCGUCUGUAGGCGGUUUCCUAAGUCCACUGUUAAACCUUGAGGCUCAACCUCAAAUCUGCAUUGGAAACUAGGAGACUUGAGUAUAGUAGGGGUAGAGGGAAUUUCCAGUGGAGCGGUGAAAUGCGUAGAUAUUGGAAAGAACACCGAUGGCGAAGGCACUCUACUGGGCUAUUACUGACACUCAGAGACGAAAGCUAGGGGAGCAAAUGGG